ACCCUGCUGGCUCAGAUGGUAAAGCAUCUGCCUACAAUGCAGGAGACCCAGGUUCAAUCCCUGGGUUGGGAA
RNAcentral lists this transfer RNA (72 nucleotides) under Bos taurus (domestic cattle). It matches the Rfam family "tRNA". From Rfam's summary of the family: Transfer RNA (tRNA) molecules are approximately 80 nucleotides in length. Their secondary structure includes four short double-helical elements and three loops (D, anti-codon, and T loops). Further hydrogen bonds mediate the characteristic L-shaped molecular structure. tRNAs have two regions of fundamental functional importance: the anti-codon, which is responsible for specific mRNA codon recognition, and the 3' end, to which the tRNAs corresponding amino acid is attached (by aminoacyl-tRNA synthetases). tRNAs cope with the degeneracy of the genetic code in two manners: having more than one tRNA (with a specific anti-codon) for a particular amino acid; and 'wobble' base-pairing, i.e. permitting non-standard base-pairing at the 3rd anti-codon position. The record is from Rfam by way of RNAcentral. Lineage: Eukaryota; Metazoa; Chordata; Mammalia; Artiodactyla; Bovidae. RNAcentral also lists the same sequence under 1 other name.